CUCUAUGAUGAGGAUAAUUUGCGAUUGAUUCUAUUCGGUGGCCCUCUCGCCGGAGUGGCUAUACCGUUUGGAUAGCUGAUAUUCAAUUUCUUACAUAUUCUGAAC
Molecule: small nucleolar RNA, 105 nt
Filed under: Pochonia chlamydosporia 170
Lineage: Eukaryota; Fungi; Ascomycota; Sordariomycetes; Hypocreales; Clavicipitaceae
Description: A. fumigatus snoRNA Afu_514
Rfam family: A. fumigatus snoRNA Afu_514
Source: Rfam by way of RNAcentral